CCUACGGGAGGCUGCAGUGGGGAAUAUUGCACAAUGGGGGAAACCCUGAUGCAGCGACGCCGCGUGAAGGAAGAAGUAUUUCGGUAUGUAAACUCCUAUCGGAAGGGAAGAAAAUGACGGUACCUGACUAAGAAGCACCGGCUAACUACGUGCCAGCAGCCGCGGUAAUACGGAGGGGGCAAGCGUUAUCCGGAUUGACUGGGUGUAAAGUGAGCGUAGGCGGCGAAGCAAGUCAGAAGUGAAAGCCCGGGGCUUAACUACGGGACUGCUUUUGAAACUGUGUUGCUAGAGUGCAGGAGAGGUAGGUGGAAUUCCUAGUGUAGCGGUGAAAUGCGUAGAUAUUAGGAGGAACACCAGUUGCGAAGGCGGCUUACUGGACUGUAAAUGACGCUGAGGCUCGAAAGCGUGGGGAGCAAACAGGAUUAGAUACCCUUGUAGUC
This 440-nucleotide ribosomal RNA is filed under the name uncultured bacterium. RNAcentral's name for it is "partial 16S ribosomal RNA". It matches the Rfam family "Bacterial small subunit ribosomal RNA", at positions 338 to 795 of the family's 1533-position model. The record is from RNAcentral.